This 408-nucleotide ribosomal RNA is filed under the name uncultured bacterium. Its description in RNAcentral is "bacterial SSU rRNA". It matches the Rfam family "Bacterial small subunit ribosomal RNA", at positions 110 to 518 of the family's 1533-position model. The record is from RNAcentral.
GUAACGCGUAUCCAACCUUCUGCCAGUAGGGACAGCCCGGCGAAAGUCGGAUUAAUGCCCUAUGUUCUUCAAUGCGGACAUCUAAGUUGAAGGAAAGAUUCAUCGCUGGCAGAUGGGGAUGCGUCCGAUUAGCUUGCCGGCGGGGUAACGGCCACCGGGGCGACGAUCGGUAGGGGUUCUGAGAGGAAGGUCCCCCACACUGGUACUGAGACACGGACCAGACUCCUACGGGAGGCAGCAGUGAGGAAUAUUGGUCAAUGGGCGUAAGCCUGAACCAGCCAAGUAGCGUGCCAGGAUGACGGCCCUACGGGUUGUAAACUGCUUUUAUGCGGGGAUAAAGUGCGGCACGUGUGCCGCUUUGCAGGUACCGCAUGAAUAAGGACCGGCUAAUUCCGUGCCAGCCGCGGC